This 1098-nucleotide long non-coding RNA is filed under the name Mus musculus (house mouse). Its description in RNAcentral is "predicted gene, 27042". The record is from RNAcentral. Lineage: Eukaryota; Metazoa; Chordata; Mammalia; Rodentia; Muridae.
AGACGAAAGGCGCCGACAGGGGGCGUGGGAGCAAAAAGGAAGGCGCGCUCACAGCACUUUUUGCUAAGGGUUGAGUACCAGGAAGAGGAGUUCUUUGAAAUGAAAUGGAGCAAACCUCUGGACAGCAAGAAAGCAUAUUCCUAGAAUAUGAGAUACUUUGUAAGCGCCUGCAUAGCCUCGCAAGAGACGUACAGCUUGUUCCUUAAACUGAAUGUCUGUAAAACGUCUUCCCCAUGUAACAGUCAUACUAAGGGCUGCAUUGGUUUGCGUACAGAGAAGAUUCAGGAUGGAGCCUAAUGUGUCCUGAGCUUUCCAGUAAGCAGGAGAUCACUAUGACGUUCUGUCUCAAGGAGGAAAGAGUCAAUGGAAGGUCCGUGUGUUAAACAGAAUCACCAUGUGACCUGGCAACUUCACUCAAUGUAUGUACCUAAGAAAAAUGAAAAAUCAAUGUCCACACUGCAGUUGAGAGUAACCUAAAUGUCAUCGUCUAACAAAUGGACCAGACGUGGUAGAUCCUUGAACGGACUGUUUAGCCAUAAAGGAGCAACGUGUUGAUACAGAUUACAAAUCAGACGAACUCCGAAAACACACAAAGUGAAAAGAUGCCAGACACAAAAGGUAACACAAUGAACAUCCAGAAUAGGCCAUCUACAGAGGAACAAAAAGAGAUUGGUGAUUACCAAGGACAACCAGGAGGAGAGGGAAGAGGCUGCUCACAGGUAGCUCUUCUCUGGAGUCGGUGGUAAUUGCUGCUACUACACUGAUUUGUGCAUUAUCCAUUUUUGGUUUAUGUAUUCAGUGUAUGUGUAUGUAGAGGGCACAUGUGUGUAUAUGCCUGAGGCUAACCCUAUGUCUCCUCAACCACUCACCUCAUUCACUGAGCCAGAGUCUCUCAAUGGAGUCUGGAGCUCUGUUUUGACUAGUAGGGCUAGCCUGAUUAUUCCAGGGAAUCCUUGUCUCUGCCUCUCACAGGAAUUUUAGGCAAGCUGCCAUGUACAUCAGGAGAUGUAUAUAAAUUUUUUUUGAAUCCUAGGACUCUAGAUACCUGUCCCUGUACUUGCAUGGCAAACACUUUACCAAUAAAACCAUUUCCCCAGU